RNAcentral lists this ribosomal RNA (254 nucleotides) under uncultured bacterium. RNAcentral describes it as "partial 16S ribosomal RNA". It matches the Rfam family "Bacterial small subunit ribosomal RNA", at positions 524 to 776 of the family's 1533-position model. The record is from RNAcentral.
UACGGGGGAUGCAAGCGUUAUCCGGAUUUAUUGGGUUUAAAGAGUGCGUAGGCUGUGAGGUAAGUCAGCGGUGAAAUGCCCCCGCUCAACGGGGUGAAGUGCCAUUGAUACUGCCUUGCUGGAAUGCGGAUGCCGUGGGAGGAAUGUGUGGUGUAGCGGUGAAAUGCAUAGAUAUCACACAGAACACCGAUUGCGAAGGCAUCUCACGAAUCCGCGAUUGACGCUGAUGCACGAAAGCGUGGGUAUCAAACAGG